This 253-nucleotide ribosomal RNA is filed under the name uncultured bacterium. RNAcentral's name for it is "partial 16S ribosomal RNA". It matches the Rfam family "Bacterial small subunit ribosomal RNA", at positions 524 to 776 of the family's 1533-position model. The record is from RNAcentral.
UACGAGGGGUGCAAGCGUUGCUCGGAAUUAUUGGGCGUAAAGGGUAGGUAGGUGGUCUCAUUUGUCAGGGGUGAAAGCCUUGGGCUUAACCCAAGAAGUGCCCCUGAAACGGUGAGACUGGAGUCCUGGAGAGGGUCGUGGAAUUCCCGGUGUAGCGGUGAAAUGCGUAGAGAUCGGGAGGAACACCAGAGGCGAAGGCGGCGACCUGGACAGGUACUGACACUCAACUACGAAAGCGUGGGUAGCAAACAGG